RNAcentral lists this ribosomal RNA (109 nucleotides) under uncultured bacterium. Its description in RNAcentral is "partial 16S ribosomal RNA". It matches the Rfam family "Bacterial small subunit ribosomal RNA", at positions 355 to 462 of the family's 1533-position model. The record is from RNAcentral.
UGAGGAAUAUUGGUCAAUGGUCGGGAGACUGAACCAGCCAAGCCGCGUGAGGGAUGGAGGUACAGAGUAUCGUAAACCUCUUUUGUCAGGGAACAAAGGGCGCCACGUG